UAAUUUGAGAGUUUGAUCCUGGCUCAGGAUGAACGCUGGCGGCGUGCUUAACACAUGCAAGUCGAGCGAGAAAGUUGUAACGGAUCCUUCGGGUGAAGUUAUAACUGGACAGCGGCGGACGGGUGAGUAACGCGUGGGAAACCUGCCUUAUACAAGGGGAUAGCCUCGGGAAACCGGGAUUAAUACCCUAUAAAACUCUAGUAGCGCAUGUUACAUGAGUCAAAGCUCCGGCGGUAUAAGAUGGUCCCGCGUCCCAUUAGCUAGUUGGUGAGGUAACGGCUCACCAAGGCGACGAUGGGUAGCCGGCCUGAGAGGGUGAACGGCCACACUGGAACUGAGACACGGUCCAGACUCCUACGGGAGGCAGCAGUGGGGAAUAUUGCACAAUGGGGGAAACCCUGAUGCAGCGACGCCGCGUGAGCGAAGAAGGUCUUCGGAUCGUAAAGCUCUGUCCUAAAGGAAGAUAAUGACGGUACUUUAGGAGGAAGCCCCGGCUAACUACGUGCCAGCAGCCGCGGUAAUACGUAGGGGGCGAGCGUUAUCCGGAAUUAUUGGGCGUAAAGGGUGCGUAGGCGGCCAUGUAAGUCAGGCGUUAAAGGCAUCGGCUUAACCGAUGUAAGCGUUUGAAACUGUGUGGCUUGAGUACAGGAGAGGAAAGCGGAAUUCCUAGUGUAGCGGUGAAAUGCGUAGAUAUUAGGAGGAACACCAGUGGCGAAGGCGGCUUUCUGGACUGUAACUGACGCUGAGGCACGAAAGCGUGGGUAGCGAACAGGAUUAGAUACCCUGGUAGUCCACGCCGUAAACGAUGAGUGCUAGGUGUUGGGGGUCGAACCUCAGUGCCGAAGUUAACACAUUAAGCACUCC
RNAcentral lists this non-coding RNA (864 nucleotides) under Gottschalkia purinilytica. RNAcentral's name for it is "Clostridium purinilyticum Bacterial small subunit ribosomal RNA". It matches the Rfam family "Bacterial small subunit ribosomal RNA", at positions 1 to 870 of the family's 1533-position model. The record is from Rfam by way of RNAcentral. Lineage: Bacteria; Bacillati; Bacillota; Tissierellia; Tissierellales; Gottschalkiaceae.